ACCCUAGGUCAGGUGGGAUUACCCACUGAGUUUAAGCAAAUUAAUAAGUAGAGGAAAAGAAAUUUAUCAAGAUUCCCUUAGUAACAACGAGUGAACCAAAAAGAGCCCAGCGUGAGAAUCGGGCAUUCUUGACAUUUGAAUUGUAGUCUAGAGAAGCAUCUUCAGUGGUAGACUGAGCCUAAGUCCUCUGGAAAAGGGCUCUACAGCGGUUGAGAGUCAUGUUGUGCCUAGACCCUAUUGCACCAUGAAACGCUAUUUGUGAGUCAAGUUGCUUGAGAAUGCAACCAAAAUCAAAUGAUAAAUUUCAUCCAAGGCAAAAUAUGGGUGAGAGAUUGAUAAUGAACAAGUACUAUGAGGGAAAGAUAAAAAGGACUUUGAAAAAAGAGUUAAAAAGUGCUUGAAAGUAUUGAGAGGGAAGAAUAUUGGGUUAGGCGAUGCACCUCAGUUGGAUUUGGAACAAUAAGAGCUGAUUCGUAGAUCAACUUGUGGUGUGGACUUAUAUGGGUUAUGGUAACAGCCCAAGUCUACACUUUUGAUAUGCCUAUGGAGACAUCAUUGUUGUGAUCGUGGAAUGUAGCACGCAUCAUCUUGGCAUGCCCUAGCACCUACGUGCUUCCAACAUCGGCCUAUAGGCUCCCCAUCCGACCAUUCUUGAAAUAGGACCAAGGAGUCUAGCAUGUGUGUGAAUCAAUGGGCUAGAAAACCCAUAAGGCACAAGGAAGCCAAUUAAUAGGAUCCCUUAUGGGUGCAGCACUAACCAACCUUAAUCUUCUGAGUAUGGUUCAAGUGUAAGCAUGCUUGUCAGAACUCGAAAGAUGGUGAGCUAUGUCUAAGUAGGUGAAGCCAUAGGAAACUUUAGUGAAGACCCACAAUGAUAUUAACAUGCAAAUUAUUCAUUUGACUUGGGUAUAAGGGUGAAAGACUAAUCAAACCGUUUGGUAGAUAGUUGCAUCCAAAGUUUCCCUUAGGAUAGCUAGAGCCCAUAACGAGUUCUAUCAAGUAACACCAAUGAUUAGAGGCAUCGAGGGUGCAACACCUUUGGCCUGUUCUUAAACUUUAAAUAUGUAGGAUAAUGUGGCUACUUCGUUUAGUCACACCAUGAAAUCAAGAGCUCCAAGUGGGCCUUUUUUUGUAAGCAAAACUGGUGAUGUAGGAUGAACCAAAAGCUGGGUUACAAUGCCUAACUACACACUAACCUAGAACCUACAAGGGUGUUGGUCAAUUAAGAUAACAGAACGGUGGUCAUGGAAGUCGAAAACCUCUAAAGAGUAUGUAACAACUCACCUACUAAAUCAACUAGCCUAAAAAAUGGUUGGCACUUAAGCACACAACUUGCACCCAACCAUUAAGGCAUACGUUAGUCUCUGAUAAGUAAGAAGGCAUGGUGGUUGCCACAAAAUCUAAGGUGUGUGCCUGAUAAGAACUUUGAUGGGUGAAGAAAGGAGGGGUUUCAUGUGAAUGUCACUUGCACAUGGGUUAGUCAAUCCUAAGAGACGAGGGAAGCCCAUCUGAUAGUGCAUCCAAUAUGAGCUUCGAAAGGAAAUCGAGUUAAAAUUCUUGAAUUGAGAUGCAAUGACUGCUAGCAAUGUUAAGGAGUUCAAAGACAUUGGUGAAGGCCUUGGGAAGAGUUAUCUUUUCUGUUUAAUGGUCUACCCGCCUUGGAAAUGACUUAACUAGAGGUAGGGUCCAAUGGUUGAAACAACAUAGUACAUUAUAUGGUGUAUGAUGUGCCCACGGUGGCCCUUGAAAAUCCAAAAGAUCAAGUGCCGUCUGUACUCGAUCGUACUCAUAAUCGUAUUAGGUCUCCAAGGUGAACAGGCUGUGGUUGAUGAAACAAUAUAGACAAGGGAUGUCGACAAAGUGGAUUCAUAACCUCAAGAAAAAGAUUGGCUCUGAGAGCUAGGCAUGAGGGUCCCAAUCCCAAACACAUUGGUUGUUAGUGCAUUGCUUGAGCUACUCUCAUGGUAAGAGUGGGUCACCAUGUAUUGAUUAGGGGAUAGAUUAGGAAUGGCACCCAUGAUGGCCUUUUUUGAGUGACUAAUAGUCUACUCAAAAUUGGUACGAACAUGGGGAAUCUAACUAUUUAAUUAAAAUAAAGCAUUCUAAUUGUCCUUGUAGAUGCUCGUGCAAUGUGACUUUUGUGCAGUGCUCAAAAGUUAAAGUGAAGAAAUUUAAGUAAGCGUAAGUAAAUUACAUGAGUAACUAUGACUCUCUUAAAGUAGCCAAAUGCCUCGUCAUCUAAAUAGUGAUAUGGAUUAACAAGAUUCCUAAUAUCCCUAUCUACUAUCCAGCGAAACCAUAGCUAAAGGAAUAAGCAUGGUAAAAUCAAUCGAGAAAGAAGACCUUAUUCAACUUGACUCUAGUUCAACUUUUUGAAAUGACUUGAGAGGUGUGGGAUAAGUGGUAGCCCUCAAGCAAAAUUCAAAUACCAUUACUUUAAUGUUAUUUUACUUAUUUCAUGAAUCAAAGGCAGGGCACAACCUCUUCUUUUAAAGCUAAGGUUGACCAUGUCCAGUCAAACUAGGCUAAAGACAUUGUCAAGUAGGGAGCUUGGCCAGGGUAGCACAUUUAUUAAAAGACGACAUAGGUGUCCUAAGAUGAGCUCAAUGAUAGCAGAAUCUCAUGUGGAACAAAAGGGUAAAAGCUUAUUUGAUUUUUAUUUUUAGUAUGAAUACAAACCAUGAAAUUAUGGCCUAUCGAUCAUUUAAACCUUCGAAAUUUGAAGCUAAAGCUGUCAAAAAAGUUACCACAAGGAUAACUGGCUUAUGGUAGCCAAAUGUUCAUAGCAACAUGCAUUUUGAUCCUUUGAUGUCAACUUUUCCUAUCAUUAUGAAGUAGAAUUCACUAAGUGUUGGAUUGUUCUCCCACUAAUAGGGACCAUCAGUUAGGUUUAGACUUUGUGUGAUAGGUUAGUUUUACCCUAUUAAUGGCAACAUCACAAUAGUAAUUCAACCUAUUACGGAUAAGCCAUUGAUUCACACAAUUGGUCUUCAUAUUUGAUUGAAAAUCUAGUGGCAUGAAGCUAUUGUACCCUAGAUUAUAUCUGAAUGCUUCUAAGUCAUAAUUCAGAUGUGCUAUUGCUUGAUUGUCAACCCGUAGUAUAGGCCUAUGGCCUCCAAGGGCAUAUGUCGUAGGUGUAGCCCUUGUAGCGAACAAGCCACGUGGGCCUCCUUAGAGCUCAAUUCCUACUGAGUGGCAGGUAAAAUCCUUUACAUAUGACUUAAAUAUGCAAUAGGGUAUUGUAAGUAAUAAAGUGGCCUUACUACCAUGAUCCAUUGAGAUUUAAC
This 3287-nucleotide ribosomal RNA is filed under the name Durio zibethinus. RNAcentral's name for it is "eukaryotic LSU rRNA". It matches the Rfam family "Eukaryotic large subunit ribosomal RNA". Lineage: Eukaryota; Viridiplantae; Streptophyta; Magnoliopsida; Malvales; Malvaceae. The record is from RNAcentral.